Long non-coding RNA from Tupaia belangeri chinensis (Chinese tree shrew), 245 nucleotides. RefSeq lists it as uncharacterized. NCBI's taxonomy places the organism in Eukaryota, Metazoa, Chordata, Mammalia, Scandentia, Tupaiidae. The transcript is spliced from 2 exons. The record is from RefSeq and is a predicted model, not a curated record.
UCUUAUAAGGGUGCUUUCUUUUUCUCCCUCUGUGUCUCUCUUUUCCUCAUCUGUGAAGCACAUGGGUCCCCUGUGACAAAUUGGAGAUUAAUGCAAAUGAAAAAAAUAUAUAUGGAAGUGUGGGGGGAGGUGUUGUCACUUCCAAAAGUGCCCAGAUCCGGCACUUAGCUCUCUGUGCUCAGACCUAGUUGACAGAAAUGUGGCCAUCGGUAAAUAUGGUACAUGCUGAAAGAAAGAAAGAAAGA